This 229-nucleotide ribosomal RNA is filed under the name uncultured bacterium. RNAcentral describes it as "partial 16S ribosomal RNA". It matches the Rfam family "Bacterial small subunit ribosomal RNA", at positions 568 to 796 of the family's 1533-position model. The record is from RNAcentral.
UGCGUAGGCGGGCAGAUAAGUCAGAGGUGAAAGCUCACGGCCUAACCGUGGAAUUGCCUUUGAAACUGUUUGCCUUGAAUCAGGUUGAGGUUAGCGGAAUGUGACAUGUAGCGGUGAAAUGCAUAGAUAUGUCAUAGAACACCAAUUGCGUAGGCAGCUGACUGGACCUGUAUUGACGCUGAGGCACGAAAGCGUGGGGAGCGAACAGGAUUAGAUACCCUGGUAGUCC